UGAAGAGAAGGCGCCAGCAGA
Molecule: non-coding RNA, 21 nt
Filed under: Rattus norvegicus (Norway rat)
Lineage: Eukaryota; Metazoa; Chordata; Mammalia; Rodentia; Muridae
Source: RNAcentral